RNAcentral lists this ribosomal RNA (842 nucleotides) under Scinax sp. KAV37. Its description in RNAcentral is "partial 16S large subunit ribosomal RNA". It matches the Rfam family "Bacterial large subunit ribosomal RNA", at positions 1438 to 2597 of the family's 2925-position model. The record is from RNAcentral. Lineage: Eukaryota; Metazoa; Chordata; Amphibia; Anura; Hylidae.
CCUCUAUCAGUACUGAGUAUUUCUAUACCUUUAUAGAAGAUUUUAUGUUGAAACUAGUAACAAGAAGUCAGACCUUCUCUUAAAUGCAAGCAUAAAUCAGAAUGGACUGACCACUGAUAAUUAACGCUAAUGAUCACCAAUCAGCAACCUCCAAAGAAAAAUCUUAUUUCCUACAGCGUCAACCUGACACAAGAGCAUUUCAAGAAAGAUUUAAAGAAAAAGAAGGAACUCGGCAAAUAUUAACCCCGCCUGUUUACCAAAAACAUCGCCUCUUGAACAAAAAUAAGAGGUCCAGCCUGCCCAGUGACUAAUGUUCAACGGCCGCGGUAUCCUAACCGUGCGAAGGUAGCGUAAUCACUUGUUCUUUAAAUGAGGACUAGUAUGAAUGGCACCACGAGGGUUAUACUGUCUCCUCUUUCUAAUCAGUGAAACUAAUCCCCCCGUGAAGAAGCGGGGAUUAAACUAUAAGACGAGAAGACCCUAUGGAGCUUUAAAUUUACCCUCAAACGCCAAAAUCAUACAGCAAGUUUUAAACUUCACCACACGAACUUUCGCGCCAUGAGGGCAACUUUUAGGUUGGGGUGACCAUGGAGUAUAAAAUAACCUCCAUACUGAACAGGCCUCCAAGCCUCGAACCAAGGGCCACGACCCGCCGCACUAAAAUAUUAACAUCCAUUGAUCCAAUGUAUUUUGAUCAACGAACCAAGUUACCCUAGGGAUAACAGCGCAAUCUACUUCAAGAGUUCCUAUCGACAAGUGGGUUUACGACCUCGAUGUUGGAUCAGGGUGUCCCAGUGGUGCAGCCGCUACUAAUGGUUCGUUUGUUCAACGAUUAAAACCCU